RNAcentral lists this transfer RNA (60 nucleotides) under Operophtera brumata (winter moth). Lineage: Eukaryota; Metazoa; Arthropoda; Insecta; Lepidoptera; Geometridae. The record is from Rfam by way of RNAcentral.
UUGCGAGCGAAGGUUUGCCUGCGACGCAAAAGGUUGCGGGUUCGAUUCCCGCCUCGGAAU